RNAcentral lists this ribosomal RNA (439 nucleotides) under uncultured bacterium. RNAcentral's name for it is "partial 16S ribosomal RNA". It matches the Rfam family "Bacterial small subunit ribosomal RNA", at positions 339 to 795 of the family's 1533-position model. The record is from RNAcentral.
CUACGGGUGGCUGCAGUGGGGAAUAUUGGACAAUGGGCGAAAGCCUGAUCCAGCAAUGCCACGUGAGUGAUGAAGGCCUUAGGGUUGUAAAGCUCUUUCAGUAGGGAAGAUAAUGACGGUACCUACAGAAGAAGCACCGGCUAACUCCGUGCCAGCAGCCGCGGUAAUACGGAGGGUGCUAGCGUUGUUCGGAAUUACUGGGCGUAAAGGGCGCGUAGGCGGUUUAUCAAGUUGGAAGUGAAAUCCCAGAGCUUAACUUUGGAACUGCUUUCAAAACUGGUUUACUUGAGUUAGGUAGAGGAUAGUGGAAUUCCCAGUGUAGAGGUGAAAUUCGUAGAUAUUGGGAGGAACACCAGAAGCGAAGGCGACUAUCUGGACCUUAACUGACGCUGAGGCGCGAAAGUGUGGGGAGCAAACAGGAUUAGAUACCCGCGUAGUC